AAAAAAUAAGAGUUAAUAAAUCACUAUUGGGAAUCUGUUUAGAGAGAGGAAUUUUACACUAUCACACUUGCAACACGUCAUUAAUAACAAGUCAAUCACAUUCCUUCUUUUUAAAUAAAAGUAUAAUAAAAAAAUUUUUUACAAUCAUGAUGGGACAUAUAUUCCUAAAAAAAUAUAUUUGAUUGAUUUGUUACGCCACGUAACCAAUAUAUCCGUUGCAUUCUAGAAUUUUUCGUUUCGAGGGGAUUUGUGAG
This 254-nucleotide long non-coding RNA is filed under the name Ananas comosus (pineapple). Its description in RNAcentral is "long non-coding RNA (ACOM_LNC018611)". Lineage: Eukaryota; Viridiplantae; Streptophyta; Magnoliopsida; Poales; Bromeliaceae. The record is from RNAcentral.